Molecule: ribosomal RNA, 253 nt
Filed under: uncultured bacterium
Lineage: Bacteria
Description: partial 16S ribosomal RNA
Rfam family: Bacterial small subunit ribosomal RNA
Source: RNAcentral
GACGUAGGAGGCGAGCGUUGUCCGGAUUCAUUGGGCGUAAAGAGCACGCAGGCGGUUUGGCAAGUCGGAUGUGAAAACCCGGAGCUCAACUCCGGACCUGCAUCCGAAACUGCCCGACUAGAGGUAGGUAGGGGAGAUCGGAAUUCCUGGUGUAGCGGUGAAAUGCGCAGAUAUCAGGAGGAACACCUGUGGCGAAAGCGGCGCACUGGACCACAACUGACGCUGAGGCGCGAAAGCUAGGGGAGCAAACAGG